GCACCCGCGCCGCAAUGCCCGUCAUGGCCGGA
This 32-nucleotide non-coding RNA is filed under the name Geobacter sulfurreducens KN400. Lineage: Bacteria; Pseudomonadati; Thermodesulfobacteriota; Desulfuromonadia; Geobacterales; Geobacteraceae. The record is from RNAcentral.